CUUCAGAGCUGAUGUUUCACCAUUUUAAACAGACAGAACUGAUUAUUUACCAGACAGAAUAUGUUUAAAACUGUAAUAGAGUUGAUUAUAAAAGUUUAGGCAGGAAUUUAUGUGUACCUACUCGAUGGAAAAGCUGUAGGAUUUCUGUGAAUCGAAUCAGCGGUGGAGAUCAAACUUUUCAGAUCCAUCAUGAAUGACACACAAACAUCCAGAAAUGAAGAUUAUUUUCCAGAACACAGCUCAGUUCAUCAGAAGAGAUCAGAACCAGAACCCAGCUGUGUGUCUAUGAAGAGUGAUGCGUCUAUGAUUCAGCCAAUACAGUUUAAGAGUGGAGAUACACAGACUGGCCUCAGUCUAGUUCAUCAGAAGUCUAUGAAGAGUGAUGUGUCUAUUGAUCAGUCAGUACUUUUAAAGUUUGGAGAUACACAGCCUGAUCUCAGCCAUAAAGCCUGCAGCCUCAACACAUUUAGAUCAAACCUGAGGAUGAAGUUUCUGUGUCUGUAUGAAGGAACAGCAAAGCAGGGAAAUCCAACAUUCCUGAAUGAGAUCUACACAGAGCUCUACAUCACAGAGAGUCAAAGUGGAGAGAUCAAUAAAGAGCAUGAGGUGAGACAGAUUGAGACACAAUCCAGGAGAGGAGCAACAGAAGGCACACCAAUCAAAUGCAGUGACAUCUUUAGACCUUUACCUGGACAAGACAAACCCAUCAGAACUGUGCUGACAAAGGGAGUCGCUGGCAUUGGAAAAACAGUCUCUGUGCAGAAGUUCAUCCUGGACUGGGCUGAAGGGAAAGAGAAUCAGGACGUCCAGCUCAUAUUUCCACUUCCUUUCAGAGAGCUCAAUUUGAUGAAGGACAAAACACUCAGUCUUUCAGAUCUUCUUCAUAUCUUUUCCCCUGAAACAAAAGAAAUGGAAAUAUCCAGUGAUGAAUAUAAAGUGUUGUUCAUCUUUGAUGGUCUGGAUGAGUGUCGUCUGUCUCUGAACUUUAAGAGCGAAGUGAAACUGUGUAAUAUAUCUGAAUCAGCCUCAGUAGACGUGCUGCUGACGAACCUCAUUGCAGGGAAUCUGCUUCCCUCUGCUCUCAUCUGGAUCACCUCUAGACCAGCAGCAGCUGAUCUUGUCCCCUCUGAGUGUGUCCAUCGAGUGACAGAGGUACGAGGCUUCAAUGAGUCACAGAAGGAGGAAUAUUUCAGGAAGAGAAUCAGUGAUCAGAGUCUGGCUGACAGGAUCAUCUCACACCUGAAGUCAUCAAGGAGCCUCCACAUCAUGUGCCACAUCCCAGUGUUCUGCUGGAUCUCAGCCACUGUUCUAAAGAUGAUGAAUAAAGCAAAGAGAAGAAAGAUUCCCAAGACUCUCACUCAAAUGUACACAUACUUCAUGAUCAUUCAGAACAACAUCAAACAAGAGAAGGACUAUGAGAAAAACCUGACAGAUGAAGACAUGAUUCUCAAACUGGGGAAACUGGCUUUCCAGCAGCUUGUGAAAGGAAACCUGAUCUUCUACGAGGAAGACCUGAGAGAGUGUGGCAUUGAUGUGACAGAAGCAUCAGUGUACUCAGGAUUGUGCACUCAGAUCUUCAGAGAGGAGUUAGGCUUGUAUCAAGGGAAAGUCUUCUGCUUUGUUCAUCUGAGCAUUCAGGAACAUUUAGCAGCUCUGUAUGCACACCUCUCCUUUACAAUUGAGAAGAGAUAUGUGUUUAACCAAAACAAACAAAGUAUGAUGUCUACGAUUUUGUACUUGUUCCAAAGUAAUUCAUUAUCUGAGCUGCAUCAGAGAGCUGUGGAUGAGACUUUACAGAGUAAGAAUGGACAUCUGGACCUUUUCCUGCGUUUCCUUCUGGGUCUCUCAUUGGAGUCCAAUCAGACUCUUCUACGAGAACUACUGACACAGACAGGAAGCUGCUCUUACAACAAAGAGGAAACAGUUCAGUAUAUCAAACAGAAGAUCAGGGAGAAUCACUCCCCAGAAAGAUCCAUCAAUCUGUUCCACUGUCUGAAUGAACUGGGUGAUGAUUCACUGAUGCAGGAGAUCCAGCGUUAUCUGAAAUCUGGAAAAAUAGGACGAACCAAACUCUCCUCUUCACAGUGGUCAGCUCUGGUUUAUGUGUUGCUGACAUUACAACAGAAGAUCAAUUUUGAUCUAAAACAGUUUACUGGAGCACAAAUUACAGCAGAUGAAGUUCUCCAAAAUCUGAUGCCUGUGGUUAAAGAAUCCAGAUCAGCUCAGCUACAGUUAUGUAAUCUCACCACUCGUUCCUGUAAGAGUUUGUUUUCAGCUCUACAAUCCUCAAACUCUGUCCUGAGAGAGCUUGACCUGAGUAACAAUGACCUGAAGGAUUCUGGAGUGAAGCUUCUUUCUGAUGGACUGAAGAGUCUAAACUGUCAGUUGCAGAUACUGGGGUUGUCUGGCUGUAUGGUGACAGAGGAAGGAUGUGGUUAUGUGUCUUCAGCUUUGAGUUCAAACCCCUCACACCUGAGAGAGCUGGAUCUGAGCUACAAUCACCCAGGAGAUUCAGGAAUCAAGCAGCUCUCCAAUAAACUCAACCAUCCAAACUACAGACUGGACAAACUCAAUGUGGAUCAUGGAGGAGAGAUCAGGAUUACAGCAGGACUACACAAAUAUUCCCAUCGGCUCACUCUGGAUCUGAACACAGUGAAUAAACUCAUCCGUCUGUCUGAGAGGAACAGAGUGAUUACGGACACAUUCCCAGAGUUUCAGUCGUAUCCUGAUCAUCCAGACAGAUUUGACGAGUGUUGUCAGGUGUUGUGUAGAGAGAGUGUGUGUGAUCAACGCUGUUACUGGGAGAUUGAGUGGAGUGGAGAUUAUGCAUGUAUAUCAGUAUCAUAUAAGAGCAUCAGCAGGAAGGGACGGGGUCAUGAGUGUGUGUUUGGACGUAAUGAUCAGUCCUGGUGUUUGAUCUGCUCUUCCUCCAGAUACUCAUUCAGUCACAAUAACAAAGACACUGGUCUCCCUGUAGAGUCCAUCAGCAGCAGGAGAGUAGGAGUGUAUGUGGAUCACAGUGCAGGAACUCUGUCCUUCUACAGCGUCUCUGACACAAUGAGACUCAUCCACACACUCCAGACCACAUUCACUCAACCGCUCUAUCCUGGGUUUAGGGUUUAUGAUGGAUCAUCAGUGAAACUGUGUUGAUGAAUCAGAUCAGACUGUAGAGAGAUUCUACCCACAAUGCUUUGAGCUGAUGAUGAAUCAGUGACGCUGUAGAAAGGACAAUUCUAGAAACUCUAGAGAAAAUGGACCUGAAGAUCAACCACCUGACUUCACUGGUCCAGUCUCUAGUGGGAAACAGGCGCUUUUUACCCCCAGUGGCAGUGCAAAAUGAUGAAGAGGAUGGCAUCUUUCCUCUUGCAUCCACUGAGGAUCUAGACCGGCUGGAGCAAAGUCUGUCAGACAGAGGGUUUCUGCAGAGAAUGGUAAGAAAUGGAAUUGUCCACCUGCAACUACUAAUGAAAUGAAGUGUGUAUGUUUACAUGCUACUUGCCAAAAGUUUGAAAUGAAGAUUUUGAAAACAUCAACAGUUAACCCUUGAAGAUCUAGAGCAUUUUUGGGGCUCCUGACUUGCACUUUUCUUUGGUUUUCUAACCCAUUCUAGCAGUCAGCAUCAAGUGCCAUAUAUCAUUUUUAACAGGACAACUUGAAGUUUCAGUCUAGCUCAUUUAAAUUCCCAAUUUUACAUUUAUUUUGUCUGAGAAUGGAUCAAAUUUCCAGAAUUUCAAGAAAAAUGCCAGCAAAAAUGCGUUUUUCCACUGUAAACUCACAAAAACUCCUGAAGUUUGGAUUUUUUCCUUUAAAAAGUUAUAUUUGGAUGUUUUAGACUUCCAGAAGAAAUUGUCUACAUGUAACAAUCCAUCAGCAAGUUAUAGCCAUUAUUCUAGGCGUUUUUGAGUGAAAACGUGCAUUUUAUGUACUGACAAUGUAGAUGUGUCCAAAAAAGUUCAUGGAGUAAAAGUAAUAGAAAUACUGUUGUAAUGAUGGGUCAACAGUGUGUGGAUCCAUUAGCAGCUUUAUUAAACACAGCAGCAGUACAAACAAGGGCAGAGCAGUACCGUAGUCAGGGACAGGCAGGGGUCGAGGCUGGCAGCAGGAAUCAGAGACGGGUCACAGGCAGAGAUCAAGACAGGCGGCAAACAAUCACAGUCCAGGGUACAAGCAAAGUUCAGGGCAGGCGGCAGAGGGUCACAGAUAAUAAACAGUCCGGGUAAUAACAAGAUAGCAAUCCACAGAAUAACGCUCAGAAAUGACUACCGUAGCAAAUCAAGACUUCGCAAAGAUGUGGUGUGUGCGCGCGUGUCUUAAAUAGUGUGUGCGUGAUGUGGUGCAGGUGAAAGUGCGAUCAGUCCCAGGAAUGAGGGCCUAUGGGAAAUGGAGUCCGAAUGGCAGGGAGUCAAUAUUCCGGUGAUGGCUCCCUCCGGCGGUCCGGAGGAUGAGCCGUGGGAGCCAUAUUCACGACAACUGUUAUAUAAUAACAGAACACUGAAGCAAAAACUUUUUUCAGAGAAAUAUAUUAUCAUUUGAACAUGAACAACAACAAAAGCAAACAAUGUAACAAGUACUGACAACGGUCUUGUGCAAAAAAAUUCAAACCGUGCAACAAAACAUACUGAAUGUAAAUGAACAAAUGGUGCAAAUAAUCUUUUCAAAUACAAAUUGAGGGAAAUUUACUGAGUGCUAAUGGACAAAUGGUACAAAUAAUCUUCACAAACUACAUACAAAUAGAAAGAAAAAAACAAAACACUACACUGUGGCACCUUUUUUAAAAUAAAUAAAUAAAUAAAUUCAACAUAAAUAUACAUACAAAAUGUAAACAUUAGUGCUGUCAAAUUGAUUAAUGGUGAUUAAAUCGUGUGCUAAUGAACAAAUGGCUCAAACAAUCUUCACAAACUAAAUACAAAUAGAAAAAUAUACUGAGAGCAAAUGAACAGCUGGUUCAAGUAAUCUUCACAAACUGCAUACAAGUAGAGAACAAUACGGAGUGCAAAUGAACAAAUGGUUCAAAUAAUCUUCAAAAACUAAAUACAAAUAGAGAAAUAUACUGAGUGCAAAUGAACAAAUGGUUCCAGUAGUUUUCCUCAAACUAUAUAUUUACAAAAUAUAACAACCAAACUGCAUUGCAUAAAGACAGUCCUGAGAUUUUAUGUGCCACCUUGUGACCCCCUUCUGCUAUGCCGCUGACUGAAGCAGUUUCUGUGGGCAACAAGACACAGUGCCACAUCACACCGUGCACACUUCCAAAUAGUGCACUUCUUGCAGAGUACGCAGGGCUGUCGUUGCUGUGUCUGCUGACCUCAGUCUCUCAAAUGAGGAACUUCCCUCCUCCUCCUCACCACCAUCAUGAUCAUCCACACAGGCCAGUGACUCAGGUAAGCACUGUGGCACUCUGGGUGGCACAUCACUGCCUUUAGGGACUCCACACAGCUCUGCAGACUCCUCCAUGAACUGGCUGUGAGACAUGGGCACCGUGUCUGAUGUCUGACACAUUUCUUUGUGCAAAAUGUAGCUGUUGGUUGCAGCAAUGUCAAUGAAGUGGUACAGAAGUGUCCUGUACCAUCUGUUGGACCUUUUGUGCACUGAGUAGUACUGGAGAAGCUGGUCAGAAAGAUCUACCCCGCCCAUGUAUCUGUUGUAGUCAACCACACAGCGAGGUGCUGUGAUGCUUUUUUUCUGCCACCUCUCGUUUUCCUUGCUGUGCAUGUUUCUGGUGACAGUGUCUCCAUCAAAAGCUUGGUGUAUGGUGGAGCACACUGACACUUCUCUCGUGUCCAUCCAUUUCACGAACAACAGUUCUUAAUGUCUGAUCCAUCGGAUUGAACCCCUGGGGCUCUGUGAUGUCAGGACAUUGUUCUUUGUUUUGGGUACAUUCUUGCGUGAAUCACGGAACGUACCACAUGCUACAAAGCCAUUGGCAUACAAGUCUUCAAAAAGCUUUGGACUUGUAUAGAAAUGAUCAACAUAUAAGUGAUAACCUCUGCCCAAGAAUGAUGGAUCCAUGAGGCCGCUGAUGACAUCAAGUGAGAGACCCUGCCCUGAAAUGAAACGGUCUUUCCAGUGUAAAUGGAAAAAUCGCAGGUGUACCCAUUGCUAGAGUCCGCAAGCACAAACAGCUUCACACCCCACUUUGUUGGCUUGGCAGGAAGAAUUUUGUGCCCUCUGCUGGUGUUCCGGACCCUCCUGUAGACAUCCUUCAGCCCCAGUUUCUGCAGGAAGCAUACUGAUCUAACACUUGAUGGCUGCUCUGUUAAAGUCUUCGUCGUCAGUUAGGAACCUGGGUGUGCUCUUUGAUACCAAUCUUUCAUUUGAAGGCCAUGUUUCUAGCAUCUGUAAAACCGCAUUCUUCCAUCUUAGAAAUAUAUCUAAACUACGACAUAUGCUCUCAAUGACAAAUGCAGAACAGUUAGUUCAUGCGUUCAUGACCUCAAGGCUAGAUUACUGUAACGCUCUACUGGGUGGUUGUUCUGCUCGCCUGAUAAAUAAACUACAGCUCGUACAAAAUGCAGCAGCUAGAGUUCUUACUAGAACCAGGAAGUAUGACCAUAUUAGCCCAGUUCUGUCAACACUGCAUUGGCUUCCUGUUAAACAUCGUAUAGAUUUUAAAAUCUUGCUAAUUACUUACAAAGCACUAAAUGGUUUAGCUCCCCAGUACCUGAGCGAGCUCCUAAUUCAUUAUAGUCCUUCACGUCUAUUGCGAUCUCAGAAUUCAGGCCAGCUGAUAAUACCUAGAAUAUCAAAAUCAACUGCAGGUGGUAGAUCCUUCUCCUAUUUGGCACCUAAACUCUGGAACAAUCUUCCUAGCAUUGUUCGGGAAGCAGACACACUCUGUCAGUUUAAAUCUAGACUAAAAACGCAUCUCUUUAACCUGGCAUACACAUAACACAUUACCAAUUUAUAUUUUCAAAUCCGUUAAAGGAUUAUUAGGCUGCAUAAAUUAGGUCAGCCGGAACCGGGAACACUUCCUAUAACACCUGAUGUACUCGUUACAUCAGAAGAAGAAUGGCAUCUACGCUAAUAUUAGUCUUUCUGUUUAUCCCGAGGUUCACCGUAGUCAACCGGAUCCGGGCCGUAUCCAGGUGAGACCAAGGACCUGCACCUUGACACGACCACAACGCAGCCCUGAAGUGUCAGCAGAGAUUGAGUCAACUAGAUCAUCCAUUGUGAGGGCCUCAUCGACACGACAGCCACGACACAGUUCCUCAACAACCGUCCAUACUGGCGUGAUCCUCAAUACGAUCCUCAAUUGGAUGGAACUGAAAUAAAUACUUUUAAUGUUGCGAUCCUAUUGGACUUAUGAUAGCAACCUGAAUUGUAACAAAGCACUGUUGGCCAGAGGAGAACUGGCACCCCGACUAAGCCUGGUUUCUCCCAAGGUUUUUUUUCUCCAUUUUAACACCAAUUUGCCACUUAAUGUCACCUGAUGGAGUUUGGGUUCCUUGCCGCUGUCGCCUCUGGCUUGCUUAGUUGGGGACACUUGACAUUUGACUUGACAUUUGAUAUUCAACAGUGCUUUGAUCUGCCUGCAUUGACACUAUUCUUUAAGAGCUGCUGUGCAGCCAAACAAUGUACCAGUUAUCAAUGUAAAGCUGCUUUGACACAAUCUACAUUGUAAAAAGCGCUAUAUAAAUAAAGGUGACUUGACUUGA
Ctenopharyngodon idella (grass carp) is the source of this 7652-nucleotide RNA transcript. It is a transcript of the gene named NACHT, LRR and PYD domains-containing protein 3-like, with no coding region annotated. The record is from RefSeq and is a predicted model, not a curated record. NCBI's taxonomy places the organism in Eukaryota, Metazoa, Chordata, Actinopteri, Cypriniformes, Xenocyprididae. The transcript has 10 exons.